Molecule: transfer RNA, 72 nt
Filed under: Candidatus Zambryskibacteria bacterium RIFCSPHIGHO2_01_FULL_43_25
Lineage: Bacteria; Candidatus Zambryskiibacteriota
Also listed under: 2 other names
Description: tRNA-Arg
Rfam family: tRNA
About the family: Transfer RNA (tRNA) molecules are approximately 80 nucleotides in length.
Source: RNAcentral
GCUCCCGUAGUUCAACGGAUAGAAUAGCGGCCUUCUAAGCUGCGGAUCGAGGUUCGAUUCCUCGCGGGAGCG